RNAcentral lists this long non-coding RNA (593 nucleotides) under Monodelphis domestica (gray short-tailed opossum). Its description in RNAcentral is "lncRNA (ENSMODG00000050830.1)". Lineage: Eukaryota; Metazoa; Chordata; Mammalia; Didelphimorphia; Didelphidae. The record is from RNAcentral.
UACUUCUGACAUUCUAUGCAUUUCAACUAUGGGAAACCAUUUGAAAGUCGAGCUGGGGAAUUCACUAAAUCAGUUAAGCCCAAUUAGAGGAAGCCCUACUUACUGAGUGGAAGGAAUCUCCCUUCUCUGAGAAUAUCAAAAGAGUUUCCAUCUUUGAGGUAUUUUUUAUUCAGGAGCUGCCCCCACAAUCCUGAUCAGGAAGAGGAGCAAGAAGAUAAGGGUGGAUAUGUUGAGCCUGCACCAGUUGACCUGUUUCUUCACUUACCUCAUUAAUCACCUAGUGGGAAUUUGGCCAGCUGCACCAAUGGGCAUUGAAUUCAAGUGCGCACAACUUGAGAAGCACCCAGUGGAGCAUGGAGCGAAAAAGACGGAACCUGCAGGUGGCCUCUCAGGAGAAAAUCAGCAAAGAGGUGAAGAGAAGGACUUUGAUGGGCUGGAACUGAGUAACACUCCAAAGGCAACAUGGCGCCAAAUUGCUCUCUCCUUUUUGGCUGGGUUUGAAUGAGGAUGAUGCACUGCUGUUAACCUCAUUCCUGUUUGGUCGUUAUAUGUCUUCAAAGCCAAAUAAAGGAUGCCUUUGCCAAUUGUCCCCA